RNAcentral lists this ribosomal RNA (496 nucleotides) under uncultured bacterium. RNAcentral's name for it is "partial 16S ribosomal RNA". It matches the Rfam family "Bacterial small subunit ribosomal RNA", at positions 34 to 507 of the family's 1533-position model. The record is from RNAcentral.
UCUUCCCUCUGGCGGCGUGCCUAAUACAUGCAAGUCGAGCGAACGGACGAGAAGCUUGCUUCUCUGAUGUUAGCGGCGGACGGGUGAGUAACACGUGGAUAACCUACCUAUAAGACUGGGAUAACUUCGGGAAACCGGAGCUAAUACCGGAUAAUAUUUUGAACCGCAUGGUUCAAAAGUAAAAGACGGUCUUGCUGUCACUUAUAGAUGGAUCCGCGCUGCAUUAGCUAGUUGGUAAGGUAACGGCUUACCAAGGCAACGAUGCAUAGCCGACCUGGGAGGGGGGAGGCCCCCGUGGGAAGGGAGGCGCGGCCCAGGGCCUGAGGGGAGGACGAAGAGGGGAAUUUUCGCAGAAGGGGGAAAGCCUGACGGAGGAACGCCGGGUGGGUGUAGAAGGUUUGAGGGCUGGAAAACGUUUUUUUGAGGGAAAAACUUUUGUGUAAGUAACGGUGCCCAUUUGGCGGGAACUUAAUAAGAAAGCCCGGGUAACUUCGGG